This is a long non-coding RNA of Herpailurus yagouaroundi (jaguarundi), 477 nucleotides long. RefSeq lists it as uncharacterized. NCBI's taxonomy places the organism in Eukaryota, Metazoa, Chordata, Mammalia, Carnivora, Felidae. The record is from RefSeq and is a predicted model, not a curated record. The transcript is spliced from 3 exons.
CUGGUUGGUUGGCCAGAGUUUCUCAUCAAGGAGUACAUGCUGUUUGCUCCCCAGAUGGACAGCCUGGAUGAGCUACAAAUCCACAGAGCCUGGGACACAAGAAAUUCCAAUGCUCAACAAAUGCUGCAAGUAGGUCAAACCUUCACUGGAAAACCAGGUUGGGUUGCAGACACCAGAUGACAGGAGGGGCAGUGACAGAUUGGAGUGACCCAGAGUACUGGAACAAUGAUGGCAAACCUAACAAGUCAGUUCCAUAACAUGUUUGCCAUGGAGAGGGAGGAAAAGGAAGUCAAUGUGAGGACACCCCCAGACAAGAUUCCAUGUCCUCUCCUCUGGAGCCACAGCAUUCCUGUGAACACACCCUGCUCAGCUCUGUGUGACUUGGGACAGUUAUAAAGCCACUCAGAGAUUUAAUUCCUUCUUUCAUGAGAUGGACAUAAUAUACCUAUCUUUCAAGUUUCUCUGGAGGAAUGGCAU